Molecule: ribosomal RNA, 982 nt
Filed under: Dynastes neptunus
Lineage: Eukaryota; Metazoa; Arthropoda; Insecta; Coleoptera; Scarabaeidae
Description: partial 16S ribosomal RNA
Rfam family: Archaeal large subunit ribosomal RNA (bases 436-636)
Source: RNAcentral
UAAAAUAAGUUGGUCAAUUCAAUUUUCUCGAAUUAAGAAGAGCUAUGGCCUUAUAUAUUUAAUUGUAGCAAAAAUUUUUUUCAUAGGGUUAUGGGAAUGAUAUGUUAGUCGUUUUUUAUGAUAUCUAGUUUCUUAAGAAAUAAAUUUAAUUUAGUUUUUUAAAUGUGCAGUGUUGAUUUAUUAGCUUUGUAUUUUAAAAAUUUAAUGUUUCUAGGGAUGAGCUUAGAAGCAGAGCUUUAAAAUUGUUUGCUUGUUAUUAAAAGUUAGUAGAAUUGGAAAUGUUUAUCUUUAGUUUGUUAUAAUUAACUUUUGAUUAGAUAAGAUUUAUAUUUUGGUUUAGAUUUUUUAUUAAGAUUAUAAGUUGAAUGAUAUAUUUUAUGUAAUAAUGAUAAAAUUAGUAUAUAUGAGGAUAUAUAGUUAAGAAGGAUUUUGAGGUUGAAUUAAGGAACUCGGCAAAUAUAUUUUUCGCCUGUUUAUUAAAAACAUGUCUUUUUGAUUAUAAUUUAAAGUCUGGCCUGCCCAAUGAGGAUUUGAAUGGCCGCGGUAAUUUGACCGUGCAAAGGUAGCAUAGUCAUUAGUUUUUUAAUUGAAAGCUGGAAUGAAUGGUUGGACGAGAAAAUAACUGUCUCAAUUUAAUUGAGAGUAGAAUUUUAUUUCUAAGUAAAAAAGCUUAUAUAAGUUUAAAAGACGAGAAGACCCUAUAGAAUUUUAUAGGUGCGCGCUUGUGUUAUGGUUAGAAUUAUAAGUUGCUGAAGUGUAGGGCUAUUUUGUUGGGGCGAUGGAAAAAUUUAUUGAACUUUUUUUAUGUAUGGUCAUUGAUUUAUGUGUGGUUGAUCCGUUUUUUACGAUUAAAAGAUUAAAUUACCUUAGGGAUAACAGCGUAAUUUUUUUUAGAGUUCUAAUCGAAAAAAGAGUUUGCGACCUCGAUGUUGGAUUAAAAUUAACUUUUGGUGUAGGGGCUAAAAGGUUAGGUCUGUUCGAC